Molecule: ribosomal RNA, 273 nt
Filed under: uncultured bacterium
Lineage: Bacteria
Description: partial 16S ribosomal RNA
Rfam family: Bacterial small subunit ribosomal RNA
Source: RNAcentral
UACUAAUUUGGCUAGCGUUGUUCGGAAUCACUGGGCGUAGAGGGCGCGUAGGCGGCUUUGUAAGUCGGGGGUGAAAGCCUGUGGCUCAACCACAGAAUUGCCUUCGAUACUGCAAGGCUUGAGACCGGAAGAGGUUAGUGGAACUGCGAGUGUAGAGGUGAAAUUCGUAGAUAUUCGCAAGAACACCAGUGGCGAAGGCGGCUGACUGGUCCGGUUCUGACGCUGAGGCGCGAAAGCGUGGGGAGCAAACAGGAUGAGAAAACCUCGUAGUCC